Molecule: long non-coding RNA, 535 nt
Organism: Alosa sapidissima (American shad)
Lineage: Eukaryota; Metazoa; Chordata; Actinopteri; Clupeiformes; Clupeidae
Exons: 4
Source: RefSeq, a predicted model, not a curated record
UGAUGAUGCGCCCAGAGGUGCAGACACUGUAAUAUCUGCUGGGGUCCAGAGAUGAGGGAGUGGUUUUGGUCUUUUGUUUUCCCCAAGAACAGAGAAUAGCAGGCAGCUGAGAGGCAGCAGCCAGAUCUUUACAUGUGAGUGGUGGCUUAUCUGUGUGCUGAUGAGAUGGGAUGUGUGAUGUGUUUAUGGGUACGUGUGUGUGUGUGUGUGUGUGUGUGUGUGUGUGUGUGUGUGUGUGUGUGUGGGGAUGUGAUAACAGCUUCUAUCUGUAUCUGGGGUCUUUGCAUUUCUGUCCUGCUGUAUACAGGGUGGGUCACAACAGCUUCACUGAUGAUCCAGUGACUAUCCAUUACCCAGGGUAGAGUGUGUGAGUGAAUGUGGUCUUGACUCUGUGCAGGAGGGUCAUUGUGUCAGAGAUGCUGUAGAAGACCAGAGUUCCUGCCCUGUGAUCCACACACACUCCCAUUCUGGUAUCUGGCCACUAGGGGGAGUUGUGUCUCUUCAUUACUGUGCCUGAAUGAGGAACCAGAGCCGG